CUAAGAAUAUUCCGUAAUGGACGAAAGUCUGACGGAGCGACGCCGCGUGGAUGAAGAAGGCCGAAAGGUUGUAAAAUCCUUUUGUCGGGGAAGAAUAAGCGUGGGAGGGAAUGCCCGCGUGAUGACAUGAACCGGCGAAUAAGCCCCGGCUAACUACGUGCCAGCAGCCGCGGUAACACGUAGGGGGCGAGCGUUGUUCGGAAUUACUGGGCGUAAAGGGCAUGUAGGCGGUUUUGUAAGCCUGGCGUGAAAUUCUGCAGCUUAACUGUAGGACUGCGCUGGGAACUGCGAGACUGGAGUCACGGAGAGGGAGCCAGAAUUCCAGGUGUAGGGGUGAAAUCUGUAGAUAUCUGGAAGAAUACCAAUGGCGAAGGCAGGCUUCUGGCCGAUGACUGACGCUGAGGUGCGAAAGCGUGGGUAGCAAACAG
This 428-nucleotide ribosomal RNA is filed under the name uncultured bacterium. RNAcentral's name for it is "bacterial SSU rRNA". It matches the Rfam family "Bacterial small subunit ribosomal RNA", at positions 355 to 775 of the family's 1533-position model. The record is from RNAcentral.